This 512-nucleotide ribosomal RNA is filed under the name uncultured bacterium. Its description in RNAcentral is "partial 16S ribosomal RNA". It matches the Rfam family "Bacterial small subunit ribosomal RNA", at positions 28 to 523 of the family's 1533-position model. The record is from RNAcentral.
GACGAACGCUGGCGGCGUGCCUAAUACAUGCAAGUCGAGCGAAUCACUGGGAGCUUGCUCCCGGUGGUUAGCGGCGGACGGGUGAGUAACACGUGGGCAACCUGCCUGUAAGACUGGGACAACUUCGGGAAACCGGAGCUAAUACCGGAUAAUUUCUUCCCUCACAUGAGGGAAGGUUGAAAGUCGGUUUCGGCUGACACUUACAGAUGGGCCCGCGGCGCAUUAGCUAGUUGGUGAGGUAACGGCUCACCAAGGCGACGAUGCGUAGCCGACCGGAGAGGGUGAUCGGCCACACUGGGACUGAGACACGGCCCAGACUCCUACGGGAGGCAGCAGUAGGGAAUCUUCCACAAUGGACGAAAGUCUGAUGGAGCAACGCCGCGUGAGCGAUGAAGGCCUUCGGGUCGUAAAGCCCUGUUGUCAGGGAAGAACAAGUAUCGGAGUGACUGCCGGUGCCUUGACGGUACCUGACCAGAAAGCCACGGCUAACUACGUGCCAGCAGCCGCCGUAA